Molecule: long non-coding RNA, 1564 nt
Filed under: Macaca fascicularis (crab-eating macaque)
Lineage: Eukaryota; Metazoa; Chordata; Mammalia; Primates; Cercopithecidae
Description: lncRNA (ENSMFAG00000057877.1)
Source: RNAcentral
GGAUGAUUCUAAACAAGUCAUCCCAUCUUGUUCUGUGAACUGUGGGAAACUCAUCACACUUGUCCUUGUGGUUACUUGGGGUUGUUGUGAGAAUCAGACUUGAUCUUGAGAACGGGUUCUGAAUGCACACAGACAAACAGGGUGUGCAUGUGUGAGGUGCAAUCUACGGGAGCCAGAGUCUCAACUCCUGGGAACACAUCUCCGGGCUGCAUGUCCAGCUGCUUUUUCCUUCGUUUGGUGAUUGUGAGCAGAGCCCUUGGGGUUUGAGAAGCUCUUAGCCCAUGAGUGCAAAAAGAUGAGAGAGAAAUAAUAAUAUUUUUUUUCUCCAUAGGGAACUUCCAGCAUCUAUGAGGAAACAGAAUUUCUUUUGAUCACAGAAGAAAAGAAAAGAAUAUUAACCAUGGACUGUCCACCAGACACAGAGGCCAUUCCCAAGAACUCAACACAGGAAAGCUGGCCUCUGCCCCCAGAAGCUUCCAGGCGAAGGAGAACAGUCAAGGAGCCAAAGUCCUAGGUACUCAGCUGGAGGGUGAUUUCCACUCACACCAAUCUUCCAAAACCCUGGGACUUGGGACCGAGCAGCAGCAUUAUGUCAUUUCCAGGCAAAGCCCUAAGUUCUGUCUUUGCUUCAUGUGGUCUCUUUUCGCAUUUUGCACUUCGUCAUUUGCUGCUUCAUCUGACCUAACUCAAUGAGUUUCUUGAUUUUAAUGUGUGUAGAAGUUACUUAUUGGAGAAUUUUAUUAAACAUGCACAUUCUUAAGCCUGGCUUCCAGUGAUUCUCUUUUGGGAGGCCUGGGCAGGGGCCAGGACAUAGGCACACUUCACAGGCACCCAAAAGAUUCCCAUGCAGCAGUGACCCAUGAACCAUGCUUUAAGGAACACUCAUCUAAUGGUUCUGGAGUGGGGUUAGUCUCCCUCAGAGACCCAGGCUCCUGGGAGCCAGGGACCCAUUUGACAUUGCAAUGAAACACAGAACAUGGAAAGGGACAUGCCGUGUAGUCAAUCCAAACUGGAUGAGUAAGUGAAUCAAUUAGUGACUAAGGCACAUGCAAUAGGGAAGGUCAUUGUCACCAUGAACUGAAACUUUUCUGGCAAUGUUGGAGAAGGUAAGGUGAGUGGGAGAGGUGGUACAAGACAGGCUUCAAAGCUGGGUCUCUGAUGGGUCACCAGAAACAGUCGGGUCCUUGUAAGGCAAUGCUUCUUCUCUAGCAGAGACGUUUGUCCAGAGGGAGUCUGUCAGCCUCCAAGAUAUUUUAAGCUUCAUCCCUCAAAAUGUCAUAAAGGAGGAUUAAAGUAUAAAUGAUUGUCAGUUCACUCCUGUCCUCCUGGUACUGCGCUGAGCAUCUCAGGCUGUUUGGAAGGCAGGGGCAGCAAGGGACAGGAGGAGCAGGGGAGGGUCUUAAAAUGUAACUGAAGAGAGUCUGCAGAGAAUGAGGAGCUCCGGUGUGUCUUGGGGGCUAAAGCAGUUCACAGGCUGCUACUUUUUUGUGACAUAGCUUUUAUGGGGGGAGAGCCAGAAUAUUAAGCUCAUUGCUUCCAGAUGGGAAGGUUGGACAAGACAGAG